GAUGAACGCUGGCGGCGUGCCUAAUACAUGCAAGUCGAGCGAACAGACGAGGUGUUUGCUCCCCUGACGUUAGCGCCGGACGGGUCCGUCACACGUUGAUAACCUACCUAUACGACUGGGCUAAUUUUGCGAAACCCGAUCUACUACCGGAUAAUAUAUUGACCCGCAUGGUUCACUAGUUAAAUACGUUUUUUCUUUCAUUUAUAGAUGGUUCCGGACCGCAUUAGCGAGUUGGUUAGGUAAAGGCUUACCAAGGCAACGAUGCGUAGCCGACCUGAGAGGGUGAUCGGCCACACUGUAACUGAGGAACGGUCCAGACUCCUACGGGAAGACGCAGUAGAGAAUCCUCCGCGAUGGACGAAAGCCUAACGGAGCAACGCCGCGUGAAUGAUGAAGGUCUUCGGAUCGUAAAACUCUGUUAUUAUGAGAGAAGAAAUGUGUAAUUAACUAUGCACGUCUUGACAGUACCGAAUCAGAAAGCCACGGCUAACUACGUG
This 497-nucleotide ribosomal RNA is filed under the name uncultured bacterium. Its description in RNAcentral is "partial 16S ribosomal RNA". It matches the Rfam family "Bacterial small subunit ribosomal RNA", at positions 28 to 507 of the family's 1533-position model. The record is from RNAcentral.